Molecule: long non-coding RNA, 943 nt
Filed under: Gossypium raimondii (Peruvian cotton)
Lineage: Eukaryota; Viridiplantae; Streptophyta; Magnoliopsida; Malvales; Malvaceae
Description: long non-coding RNA (GRAI_LNC002302)
Source: RNAcentral
GAAGCCAUAUUUAGGGUUUUUAAGCUUUCAAGCUCCAUAGUAAGUGAUUCCAAGCCCCGUUUUUAAUGUUCUUCGUAUUUUUGGAAUCCCGGUAACUUGGUUUAGCUUAUUCUACCAUUAAUUCGUGUUAGGGUUCAUAUUUGAAAAAAUACCCAUAGGUGAAAUGUGUUUAUUUUGCUGUUUUAUGGUGGAAUAUGAAGCUAGAGAUUAUGUUAAACAACUUUUGCUAAGCAAUUUUAAGCGAAAAUGGGUAAAUAGGCAUAAUCGGUAAAAAUAAUUAAUAUUCAAAAGUAUGUGUUGGAGUGGGAAUUUGAUGUUGCCAUAGAAGGGAAAAAUGUUCAGCAUUUUAUAAAACUUAAGAAUAAGUGAUGAAGUUUAAUUUCCGAGCUUGGGGACAAAAGUGUAAUUAAGCAAAAGUUUGGGGGCAAAAUUGUAAUUUUUCAAAAAGUUGGGUGGUGGGUUAUUUUAAUAAAUGUGAAUAUUAAACGAGUUAAAUUUGCUAUUAUAGAUCAAGAAAGACGUGAAGAGUAUAUCAAACGGGGAAAAGAAAAGAUAGUGGAGUAAAGUGCAAAAUUACGAUAUUUUGCACCGAGGUAAGUAAACACGUGACUUAAUGUAUUAUUUUGAUAUUAUUUGAUAUAUGUUGAGAUUUAUUUGGAAUUAAAAUAAAUGUUUGGCAAUAUCCUAAAAAUGUUGUUAAAUCGGGAAAGGUGAUAAAGGGUUGCAAUAUAUGGUUUAUGGUUUGAACACUCGGAAUAAGCCGGAGUAUGUUGUAUAUAAAAGGGGUUGCUGUGUCCUGAUUCCCCGAUUCAUUGGUGGUGCUAGGUGCGUGAUCCACCAUACCUUUGAAAUGUGAAAGGGGGUUGCUAUGUGCUGAUUCCCCCGAGGGGUUGCUAAGUGUUGAUUCCCCGAUUUCAUUGGUGGUGCUAAGUGCGAUAUCCAC